UUUCCACUAGUGCUCCCACGACGGGCAGCAACAUGUUCUACCCAAUCAGCUCUGCAAUCUUGUCCUCCUCCAUCGCUUACCUCAGAUCUUUUCUGUUGGCCCUCCUCAAUUGGGGAGAAGCAAGAACUCAUUUACUGACUCCACCCACGCGAGGAGCAGCUAGCCAGCGGGCACCUCUUCCCUUCGGCCUCCACAACGUCAUGGUUCUUGUUAGGAUCGUCAUGCCUCUUCCUCAGUUACCUCCUUUAGAUGUUCAAUCUAUCUUCCUGUUAAUUCACAUCAAAGUUCUCUGGAUGGAUGAGUACCUUCCUAAUUAGAUUACAAACACCUCUGAAGUAGUAGCAAUUGUGGUUAGAUUGUAGCAGCUGAUUUCCC
This 375-nucleotide long non-coding RNA is filed under the name Hordeum vulgare. Its description in RNAcentral is "long non-coding RNA (HVUL_LNC017241)". Lineage: Eukaryota; Viridiplantae; Streptophyta; Magnoliopsida; Poales; Poaceae. The record is from RNAcentral.